This 255-nucleotide ribosomal RNA is filed under the name uncultured bacterium. RNAcentral describes it as "partial 16S ribosomal RNA". It matches the Rfam family "Bacterial small subunit ribosomal RNA", at positions 524 to 777 of the family's 1533-position model. The record is from RNAcentral.
UACGUAGGGUGCGAGCGUUUGUCCGGAUUUAUUGGGCGUAAAGAGCUCGUAGGCGGUUUGUCGCGUCGGCCGUGAAAUCUCCACGCUUAACGUGGAGCGUGCGGUCGAUACGGGCAGACUUGAGUUCGGUAGGGGAGACUGGAAUUCCUGGUGUAGCGGUGAAAUGCGUAGAUAUCAGGAGGAACACCGAUGGCGAAGGCAGGAUCUCUGGGCUGACACUGACGCUCAUGCACGAAAGCGUGGGAGCAAACAGGA